AGUGAACGCUGGCGGCAGGCCUAACACAUGCAAGUCGAGCGGCCGCGCGGGGGCAACCCUGGCGGCGAGCGGCGGACGGGUGAGGAAUUCGUCGGAAUCUGCCUUUUUGUGGGGGAUAACGUAGGGAAACUUACGCUAAUACCGCAUACGUCCUACGGGAGAAAGUGGGGGAUCGCAAGGCCUCACGCAGAAAGAUGAGCCGGCGACCGAUUAGCUAGUUGGUGGGGUAAAGGCCCACCAAGGCGACGAUCGGUAGCUGGUCUGAGAGGAUGAUCAGCCACACUGGGACUGAGACACGGCCCAGACUCCUACGGGAGGCAGCAGUGGGGAAUAUUGGACAAUGGGCGCAAGCCUGAUCCAGCCAUGCCGCGUGUGUGAAGAAGGCCUUCGGGUUGUAAAGCACUUUUGUCCGGAAAGAAAUCCCUGGAGCUAAUACCUUCGGGGGAUGACGGUACCGGAAGAAUAAGCACCGGCUAACUUCGUG
RNAcentral lists this ribosomal RNA (484 nucleotides) under uncultured bacterium. RNAcentral's name for it is "partial 16S ribosomal RNA". It matches the Rfam family "Bacterial small subunit ribosomal RNA", at positions 29 to 507 of the family's 1533-position model. The record is from RNAcentral.